AUGGCUUGCUUCCCUUGGCCAAUGGAAUCCAUUGCCAAACUUGAAAGCUUGAUCAGGGGGUUCUUCUGGCUGGGUAAGAUCUCGGCUAAAGGAGGUCAGUGCCUCGUAGCAUGGCAGUCUGUUACUUUGCCAAGGACGUCUGGUGGUCUGGGAGUCUGGGAUUUGGCUGCACACAAUCAAGCGAUGCCGUCUAAGUUUGUUGCAAGAGUUCUGCAGUUCUCUGAUGUCCCUUGCUACCAAUGGUUAGCUCAUCAAUACUGUCAGAACAACAUGCCCUUGAAGAGAUGGAAUCAGGACUCUGCCAUUUGGAAAGGCUUCAAGCAGUUUAUUCCGCUAAUCUUAGCCUCCUCUCGGUGCUCCUUGGGAUCUGGCACGACGAUAUCCUUCUGGCAUGAUUGUUGGCUGCCUGUAGGCCGGCUUUGCUUUGUUUUGCCCACCCUCUUCAGCUUUGCUCAUGGCUGCUGCACUGUCACCUCUCAGUUCCAUCAGGGUAGAUGGCGCAUCCUGCUACACCCAAACCUAUCUUCUACGGCUGUCCAAGAGCUGCGCUUCCUAUGCGAUCUGUUGGCCGCUCUCAUGCCAUCCUCUAGCCAUGUCGAUGUACGCUCGUCUGCUCUUCAAAAUAAGGCAGUCACUACAUCAUACAUAUACAUGCUACUCACCUUCAGAGGGAUUUCUUCUAUUAUUAGUCCUUGGAUCUGGGAACCCGUCAUCCCUUUGAAGCACCGCAUCUUCCUGUGGCUGGCUUUUCGAGGGCGACUAAACUCACGUGACAACAUGGUCAAGAAGCACUGGACAUCCAUUACCGCGCACCAGGAUUGUGAUAUUUGCCCUGCUUGUGAAUCUAUUGAUCAUAUUGUCCUCCGCUGUUCUCCAGCUUCGAUACUAUGGGACUCGCUGCACAUGACAAAUCUUGCCAACUGUUCCACAGAUCUGCUCAUCGGCUUCAUGCAGGAGGCGCUGCAUGCCUGUCCUCCCUCUAGCAGAUUUUCGUUGAUGUUUGCUGCGGCUGCUGUCACCCUCUGGCACUCAAGGAAUGAUCGUGUUUUCAACAACAAGCAAUGGUCUCCUACCUACAUCAAACUAUAUGCUGUGCAGUUGCUAACUUUGUGGAAGAAUAGAGCACGGAAAACAGCUGAUCAAGAUGCUCUGGCGGCUUGGAUACAAUGGUUGUCCCCUGCUUAUGCUAGCCUGCUACCUUUGCCUCCCUGA
This 1212-nucleotide ribosomal RNA is filed under the name Triticum aestivum (bread wheat). RNAcentral's name for it is "partial small subunit ribosomal RNA". Lineage: Eukaryota; Viridiplantae; Streptophyta; Magnoliopsida; Poales; Poaceae. The record is from RNAcentral.